AUGAAUGCCAAAAUUCUAGUAGUUAGGAUAUAUAGAACACCUAUCGUAGAUCCAGACCCCAGAAUUCUAAUAGUUAGGAUCUAUGGAGCAGCUAACGUAGACCCAGACCCCAGAAGUCUAAUAGCUAGCAUCUAUACAGCAACUACCGUAGUCCCAGAAACUAGAAUUCGAAUAGGUAGCAUCUAUACAGCAAUUAAUGUAUGCCCAGACCACACAAUUCUAGUAGGUAGCAUCUAUACAUCUCCAAAUGUAGGCCAGGAUACCAGAAUUGUAAUAGUUAACAUCUAUAUAACACCUAAUGUAUGCCCAGGCUGCAGAAUUCUAAUAGGUAGCACUAGGCCCAGACCCCAGAAUUUUAAUAGCUAGCAUCUAGACAGAACCUAAUGUAUACCCAGACCACAGAAUUCAAUUAGGUAGCAUCUAUAGAGAACCUAUUGUGGGCCCAGACCCCAGAAUUCUAAUAGCUAGCAUCUAUACAGCACCUAAUGUAUACCCAGACAACAGAAUUCUAGUAGGUAGCAUCUAUACAGCAUCUAUUGUAGGCCCAGACCCCAGAAUUCUAAUAGCAAACAUCUAUACAGCACCUAAGUAUGCCCAGGCCCCGGAAUUCUAAUAGGUAGCAUCUAUAUAGUACCUAAUGUAUGCCCAGACCACAGAAUUCUAAUAGUUAGCAUCUAUACAGCACCUAAUGUAUGCCCAGACCCCAAAAUUCUAGUAGGUAGGAUAUAUAGAGCACCUAUCGUAGGUCCAGAUCCCAGAAUUCUAAUAGCUAACAUGUAUAAAGCACCUAAUGUAAGCCCAGACCCCUUAAUUCUAAUAGGUAGCAUCUAUAUACCACCUAAUGUAUGCCCAGACCACAGAAUUCAAGUAGGUAGCACCUAUACUCUCAUAUUGUAGGCCUAGACCCCAGAAUUCUAAUAGCUAACAUCUAUACAACACUUAAUGUAUGCCCAGACGCAAGGAUUCUAAUAGGUAACCUAUACAGCACCUAAUGUAUACCCAGACCACAGAAUUCUAAUAGGUAGCAUCUAUACAGCACCUAAUGUAUGGACAGACCACAGAAUUCUAAUUGGUAGCAUCUAUACAGCAUCUAUUGUAGGCCCAGACCCCAGAAUUCUAAUAGCUAGCAUCUAUACAGCACCUAAUGUAUGCACAGACCCCAGAAGUCUAAUAGCUAGCAUCUAUACAGCACCUACCGUAGGCCCAGAAACCAGAAUUCUAAUAGGUAGCAUCUAUAAAGCGCCUAAUGUAUGCCCAGACCACAGAAUUCUAGUAGGUAGCAUCUAUACAACACCUAUUGUACGCCCAGAUGCCAAAAUUCUAGUAGUUAGGAUAUAUAGAGCACCUAUCGUAGGUCCAGACCCCAGAAUUCUAAUAGCUAACAGUAUAGCACCUAUAGCCAGACCCCAAUUCUAAUAGGUAGCAUCUAUAUACCACCUAAUGUAUGCCCAGACCACAGAAUUCAAGUAGGUAGCACCUAUACAGCACAUAUCGUAGGCCCAGACUCCAGAAUUCUAAUAGCUAGCAUCUAUACAGCACCUAAUGAAUGCCCAGACCCCAGAAUUCUAAUAGGUAGCAUUUAUACAGCACCUAAUGUAUGCCCAGACGACAGAAUUCUAGUAGAUAGCAUCUAUACAGCACCUAUCGAAGGCCCAGACGCCAGAAUUCUAGUAGGUAGCAUCUAUGCAGCACCUAAGUAUGCCCAGGCCCCAGAAUUCUAGUAGGUAGCAUCUAUAUAGCACCUAAUGUUUGCCCAGAACACAAAAUUCUAAUAGUUAGCAUCUAUACAGCACCUAAUGUAUGCCCAGACCCCAAAAUUCUAGUAGGUAGGAUUUAUAGAGC
RNAcentral lists this long non-coding RNA (1842 nucleotides) under Sarcophilus harrisii (Tasmanian devil). RNAcentral describes it as "lncRNA (ENSSHAG00000031752.1)". The record is from RNAcentral. Lineage: Eukaryota; Metazoa; Chordata; Mammalia; Dasyuromorphia; Dasyuridae.